This 1571-nucleotide long non-coding RNA is filed under the name Homo sapiens (human). Its description in RNAcentral is "non-protein coding lnc-FAM193B-4:2". Lineage: Eukaryota; Metazoa; Chordata; Mammalia; Primates; Hominidae. The record is from RNAcentral.
AUUUAGAGGUUUAUUUCGAACAACUGGCAAUUCCAGGAAUGAUGGAAUAAAGCAUACGAAGUAGAAGGACUGGAACCUCCAGAAAAAGUACUUUAAGUUACCUACAGGUGAUCCUAGUCAGGCAAAUGAAAACAGUAGCCUAAAGUGUCAGUUUCAACCCGAAAAUAACAGCUCUGAUUUCUCAUGGCUCACACUCGUCUGAAAUGACUCGGGUAGAGGCUGAGGAAGGCUGUGUUGUUUGUCUACCUGGGACUAGUAAAAAGAGAAGAGAAAGACAUUCUUGAUUUUGGUGACUAGAGUUGUAGAUGCUGGAAGCUUUGCCACUAACAUUGAUGAACCAGAUGCAUGUCACCAGCCCAUCACGGGCACCAUGGGCCGGCACUGCCACGUUUUCCAAGGAACCUGCCAGAGCUCCUGCGGAAGCUGCUCCUCGGGCGAUGGAGUCCCUUUGCUGCUAGGCCCUUCUUCAGUCACCACAGGAUGCCUGCCAUUCAUGAACAGGAAGGAGAGGACGGGCUUUGAAUAAAAAACAGGAUCCAGGAAAUAUUUGUGAGGCCAUUUGGACUUCAGUGUGAAAUGGUGUUAAAAGAUGAAGUCAUUUAUUCAAGAAGUAAACCUCUGCCACCUGGACUGUGCUCAGACAUUUCAUUGAUUUUGUUUAAUAAACAUUUUCUGGCUUUGGGAGGUGUCUCUCUUGGUAGAGCACAGUGUCAAAGAUGGACAAGAUGGACACAUAGUCCAUUAUUUGGUAUUGUUUGUGUAUGGGAGCGGACCACAAAUUAAUGUUUGGAGAACAAUUUUGUCAUAACACACUGUUGAGGCUCAGUUGUACAGAACUGGAAAAGUCUUUCAGCUUGGCACAUGUCCUGAUUCAGCCUUUGUUUAACAUACAUUCCAAUCCGGAUUCUAUCUUCACUGGCUACAAAGACCACCUGAUACGUGCACCACGACACAGGAGCUGCUGGAGAGGGGGUAGUGUUAUCACCUCAAACCCACAGCCAUAUUUUUCAAAAGCCAGCUUAGAGAGAGGUGUACUGAUAGCUGCAUAGAGAACAUGCAGUCCAUCCAUUCUUCCCAGUGAUGUACAUUUCUCAAUCAGUAACCACGUGGUAUACCAGCCUUGAGUGUCACAUCUCCCAACCAUACCAAAUGGAUCACCUAACUGGAGGUGGGGGGGGCCCCUCAGAAAUGAGAUUUCGUAUUUACUGUAAAAUUGCCUUAUUUUUUCUUUUGAGGUGGAGUCUCACUCUGUUGCCUGGGCUGGAGUGCAAUGGUGUGAUCACUGCUCACUGCAACCUCCGCCUCCUGGGUUCAAGCAGUUCUCCUGCCUCAGCCUCCCAAGUAGCUGCAAUUACAGGCGCAUGCCACCACUCCCAGCAAAUUUUUAUAUUUUUAGUGGAGACAGGGUUUCACCAUGUUGGCCAGGCUGGUCUCAAACUCCUGACCUCAGGUGAUCUGCCCACCUUGGCCUCCCAAAGUUCUGGGAUUAAAGGUACGAGCCACCGCAACUGGCUGAGAAUCUUUUUAUUUGCUGAUUUGUCUCUUGUGUAUUUUCUUUGUUCAGAUGUCUC